GCCCGGCUGGCACAAUUGGUUAGCGCGUAAGACUUUUAAAGGCUUUAGAGCUUGCAAAGUUAUCUUAAGGUUGGGAGUUCGAGCCUCCCGUCGGGCG
RNAcentral lists this transfer RNA (97 nucleotides) under Neofusicoccum parvum UCRNP2. It matches the Rfam family "tRNA". From Rfam's summary of the family: Transfer RNA (tRNA) molecules are approximately 80 nucleotides in length. Their secondary structure includes four short double-helical elements and three loops (D, anti-codon, and T loops). The record is from Rfam by way of RNAcentral. Lineage: Eukaryota; Fungi; Ascomycota; Dothideomycetes; Botryosphaeriales; Botryosphaeriaceae.